Molecule: long non-coding RNA, 7606 nt
Filed under: Nicotiana tabacum (common tobacco)
Lineage: Eukaryota; Viridiplantae; Streptophyta; Magnoliopsida; Solanales; Solanaceae
Description: long non-coding RNA (NTAB_LNC002259)
Source: RNAcentral
UUCAAAAUUUAAGGUCAAUCAGAGUUGGUUUGAUAUGAUUCGGAAUUGGUUUUAGAGGUUGGAAGUUCAUUAGUUUUAGUAGGCUUGAAUUGGGGUAUGAUUCAUGAAUUUGGUAUUAUUUGAUGUGAUUUGAGACUUCGACUAAGUUCGUAUCAUAUUUUAGGACUUGUUGGUAUGUUUGGAUGGGGUUCCAAGGGCCUCGGGUGUGAUUCAGAUUAAAAUUGGAUUGGAAAUUGGAGUUAAGGAUUUCUGAAGCUUAAAGCUUCUGGUGUGAUCGCACCUGCAUGGCUUUGGCCGCUGGUGCGAGACCGUAGAAGCGGCCACGGGGUCGCAGAAGUGGUUCUGGGUUGGAACUGGGAAGUUGCGCAGGUGCGCGGAAUUUUCCGCACCUGCGAGCUCGCAGGUGCGGGCAUCUGGGCACAGAAGCGGAUAUGGGGCAGGAGAGGCCGGAGUCGCAGAAGCGGAGAUUUCUCCGCAGGUGCGGACGCGCAUGAGUGAAGGCAGGACCACAGAAGCAGUCCCACAGGUGCGUAUAAGGGGCCGCAAGUGCGCUUGGUCGGGUGUUAAGUGAGUUUCGCAGGUGCAGACCCAUUAACCGCAGAAGCUAAAAGUUGGAUCGCAUGUGCGAUAAUGCCUGGGCAGAAGGAUUUAAGCGAUGGGUUUCGUGGUUUCUCUCAUUUUUGGACUUGAGGAGCUCGGGUAGGGAUGAUUUUGAGAGGGUUUCGGCUACAAUUGAAGAGAUAAGUGAAGAUUCAUCACUUUCAUUGAUAAAUAUUGUUUACCCAUUAAUUUUUACACCUAGAUUAUGUAUGUUUGAGGUGAAAUUUAGGAAUUUUUGGACUAUAUAUUGGAGAGUUAGGUUUGGGGAUUUGAGGGUCGAUUUGUGAUUAGAAUUGGAUAAUUUUGGUAUGGUUGGACUCAUAAUUGAAUGAGUGUUCGGAUUUUAUAAAUUUUAUCGGGUUCCGAGGUGUGGGCCCGAGGUUGACUUUUCCAAUUUUGAUUAAAGACCUUAAUUUUAUCUUUUGGAAUUGUUUCCUAUAGCUAUUAUUGAUGGAAUUAAGUUACUUUGGCUAGAUUCGGAUCGCUCGGAGGCCGAUUCGCAUGGCAAGGGUUUGUUGAAACAUUGAGUUGCGCACUUUGAGGUAAGUAACAUUUCUAAACUUGGAAUUGAGGAUAUAUAUCCCUAGGAAACAUGUUUGUCAAGUUGUGUUGGGGUGACGCACAUGCUAGGUGACAGGCGUGUGGGCGUGCGCCGUGAUAAUCAUGAUUCUAGUGGAUUCUUUUAUCUUAUGAUGCUAUCUAGUCUUGUUUUAUCCGUGUAAUUCUUACUUGUUAGAGUAAAAGAGUUGUGAUUCAUUUUAGAAAUCAUGUUUAGACUACGUGCUUAUUUAGUUGAGACAUAAUGAGGCUAUUUCUACUGUUUUGAGUUAUCCAUUUUAACUGUAAUUAUAUGCUCAGUCAUGAUUCUUAAUUUCAAUAUCAUAUAUUAGUCUCUGCUAUCAUACACUGUUACAUCAUAUGUUAUUAUUGUUUGGGCUGAGUGGUACGAGAUUUGUGAGCCCUUGAGACUUGAGAGAUUGAAGACUGAGGUGGGCCUGAGAACCGAGUUGUGAGUGUUAUUGGGGAUCGGGCUGUACAUCGCAGCAUGCCAUAUUGGCUUUAUAAUUAUUAUGUGGAUCGAGUUGCAGGCCGCAGUAAGCCUUAUAGGCUUUAUAUUAGCGCUUGGGCAGGAUCCACCCCUCCGGAGUCUGACGUACCAGCAGUGAGCACAUGCACAGUGAUAUAUACAUGUGCUUUGGUGAGGGGUAUUGAUGCUAGGCACCCGUAAAAUGCUGAGUGAUUAUGUGUGAUUUCUGUGGGCAUUUGACAGGCAGAUUGAGCACUCCGAGAGUGUGAGUACUUGGGAGAUAUAUACAUUUGACAUGCAUAUUGAUAUGUAGGCAUAGAGAUAUACCAUUCCUCAUGCUAGUUGUACUUGACAUGUUCUUAUCAGUAUUGGACUUUAAUUGUUGAACUUGAAAGCAUGUCUAAAUUUUCUGUAACAUGAAUGAGCUGAUUUUGAUAAUUAAUCUGAGUCGUUUGUUGUUACUGCCAUUAUUAUACAUGUGUUAUCAUUUUAUUGAACCUGACUGUUUUCUUCUGAGCUCGUCUCUGCUUUCAGUCCAAGGUUAGUUCUGUUACUUAUUGAGUACAUGUGGUCGGUUGUACUCAUACUACGCUCUGCACUUCGUGUUCUAGGUACAUCUGGACGUGAUGAUUGCUAGAUAUGUGCUAGUACCAACUUAGGAGACUUCGAGGUAGCUGCUAUGACGUCCGCAAACCUUGACUCUCUCUCCUUUUAUUUUUUUCAAUGUUGUUCUAUUACUCAGAUAGUUGUACUAGAGUUUUGGCUUAUGGUGAUACUUAGUAAUGCUCAUGUACUCGUUGACACCAGGUUUUGGGGUGGUUGUAGUAGCAUUUCAGUUAUUUUUAUCAGAUGUUUAUGAGAUUUUCCGUUGUUGAGCUUAUUAAAAUAUGUUUUAUUCAAAUAUUUAGCUGUAAUGUGAUUGUCGGCUUGCCUAGCAAGUGUGUUAGGCGUCAUUACGACAGGUUGAGAUUUUGGAUCGUGACAUUAGUGGUUCCGUAAGAAUCACCGACAUCAACAAAAUAUGCAACAUUGAUAUUGAUGCAAUUAUUGGUGAUGUGAGGGGAAAUGGACUAAUAUGCUUGGAGUUGAACUAGUCAUUGAUCGUGAACUGAAAACUCCUGCAAGAGUUGAAACUCUAUGUCAUGGACAAGAUGAAAGUCAAUUUCUGUCUCUUAAUUGUGUUAUAUUAAUUCAUCAUCCUUUUUAAUUCUAAGCAAUUUUUUUACAAAUGAGCCGACAUGACUAACUCUUCUGUUUGCCUUUCAGACAUGGGUGUAUUAAUUGGCAAGGGUGAAUUCUAUGGAAAUAUCUUCAGAAUUACACCUCGACUUUGUUUUUCUAAAGAUGAUGCACAAUUUGCUUACAUGUGCUUCAAUCUUCCUUUUUUUAAAAAAAAAAAUUAAAACUUGGGUGCCUAAAUAAACUGUUUCUUGCAGACUUUCUAGAGGAUGUUAUGGAUUAUGUAAUAUCAAAGAUGUGAAUCUUCCAUUCUUCCACAAGCAUACAUCCAAGAUUUGAGGUUAUAGUUCAUUUCCUAGUUUAACUCUACAACGAGUAAAGAUCUUAGUGUUAUUGUCGAUGAAACUCUUAAUAUACAUAUGAUCUUUCUCUGUGUAUUGUAAGGUCCGCUUCAGUUGAUGCAGUAAUCUGACAAUCAUAUAAUGAGCCAACAACUCGUUGUCUCUACACAUCCAUCUUGUUUAUCUUUUUGGGCGCCUAGAACCAAAAAAUUACUCACCCCCUCAAAAAAAGAAUCUCAGUGCACCCACAUAGAUUGUGAACGUUAACACUCUUCAUUUCAGUGAGAAUGAUGAUUUUAGGGUACUAGUGAGUCGGUCACUACCUCUAUAGGGUAUUUUUGACAAUAGCUUCUCGAUCAAUUAAUAGACUUAUAUGAGUUACCUCACCUGCAGGAUCUUAAUAAAUUGCAAUGUUUAACAUUUAGUUUUUGGUUCCUCUAUUAUGUCGAUGUUGCACCACAAAGGAAACUGUUAUAUUAAGGUACUAAAUCUAUACAUCCUUAAGAUUUUGAUUUGCUCAAAGUCUUUCAUAUAGUAUCAAAGUCAAAUUUUAAUAGGUCUGUUUUAGCCGUCAGCUCCACUCUUUGAGGUUUGAGCUUCUUUUUCUGGGUGCAUUAACACCGUUAUGAGUUUAAGUAAAACACUUCUGCAUCUAUACCAAUUAAGUAAUAUGGUAUUUUCUUAUCAUUAAAUAUUUCAAAAUAUCUUAACAGGCACCAUUCCGCUAGCAAAUUUAUUUUAUACAACUUUUACGUAUUUUAAAAAUAAUUCUAUUUAACUAAUUAAUAAUUGAAUUUAGCUUUGAAAUGAUGUCUUUCUCUAUUAAACUAACUUUUGAUUACUAUUUUAACAGUAUCUUUUACUACUACAUAUGAUAUAGUACAAGUAAUUAACAUUUCAAACGUCAUGUCUAAUUAAAUAGUUUGACAUAAUUAGAACGCGGAGAGCAAAACGUAGCAAUUAAAAUUAGAAUAAACUUGCACGCACAGACAAGUGCACACUACAGCGUUCAAACCUCGGCAUUGCAGAUCUAUACCAGUGUUUUAAAAAGCGGGGGCGUGAGGCCGGGCGUUUUACCCACUAUAAGGCGAGACUUAAGCAUGAGGCAUGGGGCGUAAGCUCCAUGAAUCUUUAAAUUUUUUAAUUUAUAAAUUAAUAAAAUAACAUAAAAAUUAUAGAAAGUACAUUCAAAAUUUUAAGAAAAUUACAAAUAAUUAAAAAACUCGUAGAAAAUAAAAUAUCUAGCAUGUUUUGAUUGGCAAAAAAAAUCAAUGAUGUUAGUUUUACUAUGAAACACAAAUCAAUUAUAACGUCUUAACUUUCAAAUAAUAAUAAGAAAUCACAAUUUCUUAAUAAAUAUUAUUAAAUUAAAUAUUGCACCUUCCUAAAAGUAAAUAAUUAAUAAACUUCACCAGUGUUAUAAUUUAAAGUAUUACUCCUUCAUGAAUAAAUACAAAAUUACUUUCAAAUAGCAAAAUAAUAAAAGUUUGAUAAUUUUGAGAAACAAAGAAGAUAGAACUAAGACAUAAAGGCCAAUAGCAAGUGGAGAUAUGAAGUUUGGCUAUCUAUUUUAGAAAAAUAUUCAAAAUAUAUUCACGCUCACGUUGUUCUCAAUUAAUAAAUAUGCAAUAUUAUAACUCGUUAUUUGAGUCUCUCUCAAUCUUCAUAUUCCUAUAGAUGAAUAAAACUUUAAUCAUUCAUUUGUUAAAGAAUUUUGAGGGUUAAUAGUGUUAAUUAGGAAAUUGACACAUGAUUUGAGUAAUAAUUGUUGGGCGAGCCUCGAACGUCGGGCAUUAGGCGUGUUUAGGGAGCUUCACAGAACUAUGCCCCACACGUGAGUCUCAGGGUGUUUUGAUAGUGCCUCGUCCUGGGGCGAGCGCUGAGCAAGUCCCAAAAUAGUCUUUUAAAACACUGAUCUAUACAUACAUAUAUUAAUGACAUAGGGAUCGCAUAUUCUUGCUCAAAGUUUUUGUAUCAAACUUAACAAAGGUCAUGCUAAGUCAAAAAUACUCCUGAGUUACGUUUUUGAGUUUUGGAAAGAUCUGCCUGUUUUGAGUUGUAUGAUUACACUCCAAAAAAUAGGAGCUUUUGUAUACUGGGAACUUGAGAACUUUGAUGAAGUAAAUCUAGGUUCUUGCCUCCUUUUCAAUUAAGCACUAAAAUUUUGAAGGGUUCAUCAAACUUUGGCUGAUCACUAAUCAUCACUUUACCUAGGGAUGCACAAAGAAAACCGAUAAAUCGCACCAAACCGAUAAUUCGAGUCAACCCGGAAAAAAACCCCGAUUGUGGUUUGGUUUGAUUUAAUUUAGUAUUUGAAAAAAACCGAUCAUAAUUGGUUUGGUUUGGUUCAAACUAAAAAAAAGUCAAACCGAAAUCAAAUCAACCCGAUAGUAUAUUUAUAUAAUUUUUAAAAGUAUUUUAUACAUAUGAAUAUUUAUUGUAAUGUAAUUUAUAAAUAUUUCUUAAACUUUGUCAUAGUUUUAUCUUUUAACGUAUUAUUUCAAGUUUGAACUUUACAUUCUUGAAUGGUAAAUAAAUUUUAUAGCCCAUAAAUGUAGUAACUCAAACAAAAUUCAAAUAAAUACAAUGCUAACAAAAGAAAUUCAAUUCAACACUAGGAAUGAUGAUAAUGUUGGAUAUCUAUUUUUUAGUUUUACAUUGGUUUAUAAUGAAAAUGCAUAACUUAGUUUAUCUUUUUUUUUUAGUGAUUAGUUAUGUAAUUAAUAGUACUUAUUAGCUAUACUUAUUUUCGCAUGACCUAUAUAGUAUUUUUAGAUUAUAUUAAUUUUUAUUAUCGCUUAUUAAUUAGCAAUAUUUGCUUUAGGCAAUUUUAUUAUCUUUGUUAUUAAAUAUUUUAGUAUAAUAUUAUGACUUUUCUCAUAUUUUAUUGUGUUAUUUUCUUGGAAAAUAUAUUAUAUAGUUGUAUCUUACUAGGACUAAAGAAAUAUUUGGAGCACAAGUUACAUAUUUUGUGUUAUGAAGACUUUACCCGAAAAAAAUUCGAAAACCCAAAAACCUCGAAAAAAAUCGAGAUUGAAAAACCCGACUUUGUUGGUUCGGUUUGAUUUAUAGAUUUAAAAAUCCGACACUGUUGAUUUGGUUUGGUACUUAAAAAAUUCGAACCAACCCGACUUAGGUACGCCCGUAAUUUUUACCUAAUGAAAUAGAACAAAGAUGCCAUCUAGUUUCGAGUUAUCUAUAACUUCGUUGAUCAAACAAUCAUUAUUACACUCUCAAAAAUCAACAACUCUAUCAAUUAGUAACAUUUUACUAAUGAAGGAUCCAAAAUUAAAGCGAUGUUUCUUAAUAGUCAUAAAAAAUUACAAACACUAAUGAAGAGAGGAAGGGAAUGAUCAUUAUUCUUAGCUCAAGAAUCUUCCACAAGGAAAAUUGACAAGGGAGAGGCAAUUUACUUGCAGCAACAUUACAUAUUUAGACAAAGCGGCCGGACCGGGCUCGACGAUAUCGGAAUUAAUUGAUUCUAUGAUCUACUUAAUAGUAGAGAGAGGAGACUCUUUCAAACCUUAUCGAUCGGGCCGAACACGCAUAGGUGAAUAGUGGCGAGCAGAUACAGAACUAGACCUCCUUAGAACAAACAUGCCUGAAAAUCGAACCAUUGAAUUCAGAAUCCAAACUAAGUCCCCCAACACAUAAGCCAAUUCCUCGUAUAUGCUCAUGCUUUUCCUUAACAUUACACGCAUCACUACUGUCAUUGCAUCUCGAAAUCUAAUCAUUUUAAUGCUUUCUCUGAGAUGUGUGGAGAAAGUCACACGAGUUAUCAGUGUUCAAUGAAUUCCGAGUCUAUCUAUUAUAUGGGGCAACAAAACAAAGGCCAGAUGACCUAGAACUUCUUUCUUUCUUCCUUCUUCUUUCUUUCUUUUAAAUCUUUGAAUGAAUGAAAAUAAUAUGUGAACACUUGUGCACUAGUAUCAAUUAUUUGACAUUAAUUAUUAGUAUAAUAAAACUCUAAAGAAAGAAAGAAGUACUAAAGGGCAUGGUAGACUUACUUAAAUACCCUUUUUCUUUAACUUAUCAAAGCUUCUCACUACUUGUGAAAAAUUAAUGUAGAAGUUGAAGAAAAUGAUGAAUUCUAGUGCUUUAUUUAAAGAAAAGCAACCAUUUCCUUGCAGCUUGUUUUCUUGGAAUCUCAGCUCCAAAACUGCAAAGAAAACAUUGUUAGAACUGAUCAAAAGGGGUUUUCUAUAAAUCAGAUUAAAAAAGCUGAAGAUUGAAUUUUUACUUUAGUUUUUACCAAGGUGCUUUUGAUAGAGCCAUGUUGUAAAUCCAUAUUUAUUCACAUUAAUUAAGCUGCGCUAUUUGGCUAUCCUUUUUCUUUCUUUGUUCUUUUUGUAAAUGUGAGAUAAAGGGGCAAAAAUGUCAAAAGAAUCAAAGGAUGUCUGACAGGUAUGAGAAAAUUAAGAAAUGAGCACAUAAUGAAAUCAUUCUAGGCUCGAACAGC